GAUAUUGGAGUGAAAUCGUGUAUCACUCAUUCGCUAUAGCCGACACUCUACAGAGUGAAAAAAUACUUGAUGGCUUGAUGGUUCUAGAUUGCUUGGUAGCUUGAGAGGAGACAAAGAGCUGCAAGAGAUAAAUAUAAUGGAGAGAUUUUUUAAAAGAAAACUCACACAAGAAAGUGGAAGUGGAAGUUCAAGCGGUAAUUCUUCUUCGAUCCCCAAAGAGGUUGACUUAAAUGACCUCCCUUCGGAUCCUGCAGAAAGGGAAAAAAUUUCAGAAUAUCACCCAAAUCAAAUUGAUGAAAUCAAGAGAGCAUAUUUGAUUAAGGGGUCUUGUCAAUCCCGUGGCCAUGAUUUUCCAAAAAAAGUCAUUGGAAACAAGCAACGUCGAUUUAAUCCUGAGUGGUUUGAUCGAUAUGCAAAUUGGAUAGAGUACAGCAUAAAAGAAGACAAAGCAUAUUGUAUGUGCUGCUACUUAUUUAGAGAUCAUUUUGGAAAACAAGGUGGAAGUGAAGCGUUUGUAAUAGAAGGAUUUUCUUCUUGGAAUAAAACAGAGAGACUAGCUGCCCAUGUUGGACUAGCAAUAGCGCUCACUAUAUAUCAGUGAAGAAAUGUGAAGACGUUUGGACUUGGAUACAAAAUAGGUGAAAGUUCACAAAUGGGUGCACAAAAAAAAACCCCAAAAUUUGUAAAGUUUGUUUCUUCCACCUCUAGGACUUUAGAGCAGGAAAAUCAAAGGUGCAAUAUGCCAAACGUGGUGAAUGCUAAAAAUGGGAGGGCAUCUCCUCCGUUAAGGUAUGAAAAUUCUUAUCGGUUUGGCCGCACAGCUCAACCAUUCCAUCCUCAAUCCUUCUAUAGGAGGCAAAUUUCACAAAGGUAUGACUAAGAAGGAAAAUUUCUUUAACAGGUUUCAACCGCUACCUGAAGAGGUAACUCAGGAUAGGUUACCUAAAAGGUUACCCAGAAAGCUACCUGAGGCAAAAUAGCCUACACAAGCACCUCAAGCUAGUAAACAAUGGGUCAAGAGUUCAGAAUCAAGGUGCAUGUUUGUCCAGACAGUGUUAGUUGAAUUCAAGACUAAUUCCUGAUACCUUGACAGUGGCUGUUCUAGACACAUGAGCGGUAACAAAUCAUUUUUCACAUCUAUUGAGUCUUUCGAUGGUGGAAAGGCAACUUUUGGUGAUGGUAGUCAAGCUGAAGUAAAAGGUAAGGGCAUGAUAAGAGCUUUUGAUAAAUGCAUCUUAAAAAAUGUUCUAUAUGUUGAAGGUCUCAAAGCCAAUUUAAUCAGUAUUAGUCAUUUGUGUGAUUCAAAAUACUCUGCCUUGCUCACAAAGUAAUUUUACAGGAUCUCCAAUGAUAAUCAUACGUGCAUUUUAAAGGCUAAGAGAUCUUUGGACAACUGCUAUACUAUCCCAACUGAGGCUGACUUUUCAU
Tripterygium wilfordii is the source of this 1428-nucleotide long non-coding RNA. RefSeq lists it as uncharacterized. The transcript is spliced from 4 exons. Lineage: Eukaryota; Viridiplantae; Streptophyta; Magnoliopsida; Celastrales; Celastraceae. The record is from RefSeq and is a predicted model, not a curated record.